RNAcentral lists this ribosomal RNA (411 nucleotides) under uncultured bacterium. RNAcentral's name for it is "bacterial SSU rRNA". It matches the Rfam family "Bacterial small subunit ribosomal RNA", at positions 357 to 765 of the family's 1533-position model. The record is from RNAcentral.
AGGAAUAUUGGGCAAUGCCCGCAAGGGUGACCCAGCAACGCCGCGUGGAGGAUGAAUGUCGUAAGAUUGUAAACUCCUGUUAGAGGGGAAGAAUAGUACCGGUUGGACCGGUAUAUGACUGUACCCUCAGAGAAAGCCCCGGCUAACUACGUGCCAGCAGCCGCGGUAAUACGUAGGGGGCAAGCGCUGUCCGGAUUUACUGGGCGAAAAGGGAGCGUAGGCGGAUACUUAAGUGGGAUGUGAAAUACCCGAGCUCAACUUGGGUGCUGCAUUCCAGACUGAGUGUCUAGAGUGCAGGAAAGGAAAGUGGAGUUCCUAGUGUAGCGGUGAAAUGCGUGGAGAUUAGGAAGAACACCAGAGGCUAAGGCGACUUUCUGGACUGUAACUGACGCGGAUGCUCGAAAGCGUGGG